ACAUCCAGCGAACUUGGCAGAGAUGCCUUGGUGCCUUCGGGAACGCUGAGACAGGUGCUGCAUGGCUGUCGUCAGCUCGUGUUGUGAAAUUGUUGGGUUAAGUCCCGCAACGAGCGCAACCCUUAUCCUUUGUUGCCAGCGAUUCGGUCGGGAACUCAAAGGAGACUGCCGGUGAUAAACCGGAGGAAGGUGGGGAUGACGUCAAGUCAUCAUGGCCCUUACGAGUAGGGCUACACACGUGCUACAAUGGCGCAUACAAAGAGAAGCGACCUCGCGAGAGCAAGCGGACCUCAUAAAGUGCGUCGUAGUCCGGAUCGGAGUCUGCAACUCGACUCCGUGAAGUCGGAAUCGCUAGUAAUCGUGGAUCAGAAUGCCACGGUGAAUACGUUCCCGGGCCUUGUACACACCGCCCGUCACACCAUGGGAGUGGGUUGCAAAAGAAGUAGGUAGCUUAACCUUCGGGAGGGCGCUUACCACUUUGUGAUUCAUGACUGGGGUGAAGUCGUAACAAGGUAAGCGUAGCGAG
This 526-nucleotide ribosomal RNA is filed under the name uncultured bacterium. Its description in RNAcentral is "bacterial SSU rRNA". It matches the Rfam family "Bacterial small subunit ribosomal RNA", at positions 984 to 1509 of the family's 1533-position model. The record is from RNAcentral.